This 978-nucleotide ribosomal RNA is filed under the name Triticum aestivum (bread wheat). Its description in RNAcentral is "partial small subunit ribosomal RNA". Lineage: Eukaryota; Viridiplantae; Streptophyta; Magnoliopsida; Poales; Poaceae. The record is from RNAcentral.
AUGCGCCGAUCCCUUUUUGUGAAAAUUGUUGAAGCUUGCGAGGCAAAUUGCCGGUAUUUCACUCAGAGAAGGAAUGCCGCGGGUUUGAAGGGAUUUAGUGCAUAUCAAAAAAUCUCCGCAGCUAUGCGGGUGAUUGCAUAUGGCGUUCCGGCUGACUAUGCCGAUGAGUAUCUUCGCAUUGGUGAAGAUAGCACAAUUGAGUCUGUGCGUAGAUUUGCGAAAGUGAUCGUCCGUGUCUUUGGUCCCGAGUAUCUUCGGGCACCAAAUGAAGAUGACACAAAGAAAUUGAUGGCAGCUAAUGAGAGGAGAGGUUGGCCUGGGAUGCUAGGUAGCAUUGAUUGUAUGCAUUGGAAUUGGAAAAAUUGCCCCAAGGCUUGGCAAGGAAUGUAUUGUGGCAAGUCUCGUGAUGCAACAAUUGUGCUAGAGGCCGUAGCAUCCGAGGAUUUAUGGAUUUGGCAUUGCUUUUUUGGUAUGCCCGGCACACUCAAGGAUAUCAAUGUGUUGCAACGCUCUCAUUUGUUUGCUAGGCUUGCUAGUGGUGAUGCUCCUACUUGCAACUACACUAUCAAUGGGCAUGAAUACACAAAGGGGUACUAUCUUGCAGAUGGUAUAUAUCCUCCUUGGUGCACAUUUGUCAAGAGCAUCAAAGAACCCAAAACAAAAAAACAAUGUGAAUUUGCAAGGGUGCAGGAGGCAGCCCGAAAAGACAUUGAAAGAGCAUUCGGUGUUUUGCAAUCUAGGUUUGCCAUUGUCCGAGGUCCUGCUCGUUUUUGGGAUAAGAAAACCCUGAAGAACAUCAUGACUUGCUGUGUUAUCCUGCACAAUAUGAUUCUUGAAGAUGAGAGAGGAAUGGACUUAGAAUUCUUUUACGAUAAUGUGGGUAGCCGUGUCAAACCAGCUAGAGACCCAAACCGCAUUAGAGCUUUUCUUCAGACAUACAAAGAGAUUGAAAAUGCAGACACACACUUUCAACUUUAG